UACCUGAACUGUGACUGCUAAUAAAACUCUUGAUGGAACAGUAUUCAUCUUUUGGAACAUUCUGGAAUCGUUUCACUAGAUCCCUUUGCAGGGCCAAAAUCUCAGAGUGGAUCCAUCAGAGGCAUCACCCCAUUCCUAAAUGAAACUUCAUUCCUGAAUAGAGAGCUCAGCUGAUAUGUGAAGUUUGCAACCAGCCAGGUUCUUUCGUACUAAUACCACCU
RNAcentral lists this long non-coding RNA (221 nucleotides) under Ictidomys tridecemlineatus (thirteen-lined ground squirrel). RNAcentral describes it as "lncRNA (ENSSTOG00000031353.1)". Lineage: Eukaryota; Metazoa; Chordata; Mammalia; Rodentia; Sciuridae. The record is from RNAcentral.